GAUGAACGCUGGCGGCGUGCCUAAUACAUGCAAGUCGAGCGAACGGACGAGAAGCUUGCUUCUCUGAUGUUAGCGGCGGACGGGUGAGUAACACGUGGAUAACCUGCCUAUAAGACUGGGAUAACUUCGGGAAACCGGAGCUAAUACCGGAUGAUAUUUUGAACCGCAUGGUUCAAAAGUGAAAGACGGUCUUGCUGUCACUUAUAGAUGGAUCCGCGCUGCAUUAGCUAGUUGGUAAGGUAACGGCUUACCAAGGCAACGAUGCAUAGCCGACCUGAGAGGGUGAUCGGCCACACUGGAACUGAGACACGGUCCAGACUCCUACGGGAGGCAGCAGUAGGGAAUCUUCCGCAAUGGGCGAAAGCCUGACGGAGCAACGCCGCGUGAGUGAUGAAGGUCUUCGGAUCGUAAAACUCUGUUAUUAGGGAAGAACAUAUGUGUAAGUAACUGUGCACAUCUUGACGGUACCUAAUCAGAAAGCCACGGCUAACUACGUG
RNAcentral lists this ribosomal RNA (497 nucleotides) under uncultured bacterium. Its description in RNAcentral is "partial 16S ribosomal RNA". It matches the Rfam family "Bacterial small subunit ribosomal RNA", at positions 28 to 507 of the family's 1533-position model. The record is from RNAcentral.